Molecule: non-coding RNA, 72 nt
Organism: Bos taurus (domestic cattle)
Lineage: Eukaryota; Metazoa; Chordata; Mammalia; Artiodactyla; Bovidae
Source: Rfam
UCCCUGAUGGCUCAGUUGGUAAAGAAUCUGCCUGAGAUGCGGGAGACCUGGGUUCAAUCCCUGGGCUGGGAA